Molecule: unclassified non-coding RNA, 358 nt
Filed under: uncultured fungus
Lineage: Eukaryota; Fungi
Description: partial contains 5.8S ribosomal RNA and internal transcribed spacer 2
Rfam family: 5.8S ribosomal RNA (bases 1-133)
Source: RNAcentral
UGGCUCUGGCAUCGAUGAAGAACGCAGCGAAAUGCGAUACGUAAUGUGAAUUGCAGAAUUCCGUGAAUCAUCGAAUCUUUGAACGCACAUUGCGCCCGCCAGUAUUCUGGCGGGCAUGCCUGUUCGAGCGUCAUUUCAACCCUCAGCACGCCCCCGCAAGGGGGAAGCUGGUGUUGGGGAUCAGCGUAAGCGCCGGGUGCUCGCCACCCUGCCCGCUGGCCCUUGAAUACAGUGGCGGUCUUGCCCUGGACUCCCUCGCGUAGUAACUCACCUCGCCCGCGGAAUCCUGGCCUGGCCACGCCGUAAAACCCCCUACUUUACCAUGGUUGACCUCGAAUCAGGUAGGAAUACCCGCUGA